This 483-nucleotide ribosomal RNA is filed under the name uncultured bacterium. RNAcentral's name for it is "partial 16S ribosomal RNA". It matches the Rfam family "Bacterial small subunit ribosomal RNA", at positions 28 to 507 of the family's 1533-position model. The record is from RNAcentral.
GACGAACGCUGGCGGCGUGCUUAACACAUGCAAGUCGAACGCUGAAGCUCAGCUUUUGUUGGGUGGAUGAGUGGCGAACGGGUGAGUAACACGUGAGUAACCUGCCUCCGUCUUUGGGAUAACGCCCGGAAACGGGUGCUAAUACUGGAUAUUCACUGGUGUUGGCAGGGGGGGUGUGGGAAAGGGUUUUGCUGGUGGGGGAUGUGCUCGCGGCCUAUCAGGUUGGUGGUGGGGUGGUGGCCUACCAAGUCUUUGACGGGUAGGCGGACUGAGAGGGUGACCGGGAACAUUGGGACUGAGAUACGGCCUAGACUCCUACGGGAGGCCGCAGUGGGGAAAAAUGCACAAUGGGCGCAAGCCUGAUGCAGCGCCGCCGCGUGAGAGAUCGAGGCCUUCGGGUUGUGAACCUCUUUCGCUAAUGGUCAAGCCGCAACAAUGGUUGUGGUGAGGGUAGUGGGUAAAGAAGCGCCGGCUAACUACGUG